Molecule: non-coding RNA, 6091 nt
Organism: Leptonychotes weddellii (Weddell seal)
Lineage: Eukaryota; Metazoa; Chordata; Mammalia; Carnivora; Phocidae
Source: RefSeq, a predicted model, not a curated record
CUGCACGCUUGGCCGACGAGGCCCUGUCGUUGGCGGGGGUGCAUCGUGCUGCCCGUUGGGGCCCCAUUCCUCGGCCUCGACACAGCUCGUGUUUGCUGGCAGGCGGGGGGCCCGGCGGACUGUUGGGGUGCAUGUGUGCCUUUGGAUCCAACCCGCUAGUAAUGCAGGCUCCCCCUGAGACCCAGGCUUCUGAAGGCGGGGGGACGGGCCAGCCUGAGUGGGGUUUCCAGGGACCCUGGCUGCGGGGCCACGCAGAGCUUGGAGUUCAGGAGGCCUGGCCCAGAGAGGAAAGGAGCUACUCCGAAGUUGCCGCGGGCACAGCACCCCAGCCCUUGGGGCAGGUGGCUUGAGCGCCUGUGUGCUGCGGCAGGCACUCGCGUCUACGGGCCUGUGGAGUGGGGGACCUCGGGUCCACUCCGUUUUUGACUGUUUUGUAACUUGGUGCUCUCUCUGCCGUCAAGCACCUGCCAGCUUGAAUUGGGCAGAGGAGACGAAGAUCCGGAAUGGUUCCUGAGCACCAGUUCGUGCUGGCUCUGGCCUUGUAGCUAGGGAUGCAGGGAUGAAAGAGCCGUGGUCCUUGCCCUCAGUGCCGGUCCCGGCAGGAAGCUGGAGCGCAGAGGAAGCCCACGCACGCCCUCCAGUCGGGGGGAGGGGUACAGAGUGGGGGGGCGCCUUCAUACAAGUUCUUGGUUUUCCUCAGUUUACUACCGAAACUAGACACCAGCGUCUGACUCCAGUGUACUUGCCUGGUGCGGUGAUCCUCUGCCCUCCCCAGCAGAGCCCCCCCCCAUUUCUGCAUGCUCCUCGGCCCAGAUGAGCUUCCUUUACCCUCAGUUCAGGCUCCCACCUGAUGCUGAGAGCAGCCUCCUCCCAGAACCUGCCUCAAGUAGAGCCUUCCGGGCGACAUAGGCCUGAAUCCAGACCAAGUGUACCUAACCAUUUUUAUUUAGAAGAAGCCAGACUCAAAUUCCUUGUCAGGAUGGGAAAUCUCGACAGUCAUUUUAUUAUUGCCUCUGCAUGGGGGAGAAGAGGAAAGCUGAAGUGUACCCUUUUGACUUUAAGAGAGUUCUAAGUAUUUAUACCUUAAAACCACUUGGGGGUGCCUGGCUGGCUCAGUCCGUGGAGCCUGCGACUUGAUCUUGGGGUCUUGAGUUCAAGCCCCAAGUUGGGCAUAGAGCUUACUUAAAACAAAGAAAGCUACAGUGUUGUCAUGUACAAAAGUCAAAGACACACAGAUUAAAAUGUUGAUGGUAAAUAAAUGGGAUGGAAAAGAAAAUUCAAAGAAAAAUACAUCACUGGGAAUAUUACCACCUAGGGCAUCACAUUUUGGGGUGGGACAGCCUGUCAGGGUUAUGGGCCUCCUAGUAGAUCAGGGUAGCCGUCACAGGCCACGAGAUACCUUUGCUAAGAACGCUGUUUGCAGGGAAUGUUGGAGGAUCAGAACAGGACCUGCCUUUGGAGUUUUCUCUUUAAAAAAAGAAGGCUUCUCAGUGUUGUGGAGAUCUCCCUCACUAGCAGUUAGAGUCUGAAGUUGCUCCAGGCUUGAUGCUGGAAUUCCAUUAGUUAGCAGUGAGAGAAGACGAGGGCAAGGAAGCUCAGGAAUAAUACAGAAACGAAAUAGAAGAGGGAUCUCAACAAAGAACUAGGAGCUGUGUGGGUGAUGCUCCUACAGACACCGGGGACUGUUGGGUCCUGUUUGAAUUUGUGGCUGAAUUGGGUGCUGUUAGGUGGAGUUAGGGACAGGGAACAUCAGGUGUUUCAGAGGGUGUACAGAAGAUCUAGUUGAUGGAGGAGUUGGCUUUGGUUAAGGGCCCCAGGGAAGACUAGAGCUUGGUUAGGGAACAGGGAGUGGGGACAGUGUUUGGUGAGUCAGGGAGGCCUCCCUGAGAAGGGCCCAUUCAGAGCUCUGAAGUGAGCAGCCAGCCCCAUGAACACCUGCUCUUGGCCAAUUUCUGGAAUCAGCCAAGCACUGAGGCAGGAAGGACUGGGUAUGUUUGAGGAGCCUAAAGGAAGCUGGAGGGGAGUGAGGAGUGGGCCAGGUCAGGCAUGUAUAGGGCUCAUAAGUAUGAGGGGAGCCACUGGGGGUCGGGGCAGGUACAUGAUAGGGGUUUGCUGGCUGCCAUAUGGAGGUGGACCAUUGGAGGAGGGCUGGGGCGCCCCAAGUUUGAUCCAUCUCAGAUCCAGGCUCUAGGUGACAGGAGCAUAACUCCCAAAGGGGCACAUGUGGGUCCUGCUGCUCCAAAAGCACAUCCUCUGCUCCCAAAUACAGGAAGUGGAGAAGGAGGGAGAAAAUGGUGGAGGGAAAACCCCAAUGUGGGGACCACAUGGAGUUUUUGGUCCAUGGUCUGUAUCAGACCCCACUGGACACAGGCCUGGAGACCCCAUCCCCGGGCAGAGGAUUAGAGCGAGUGUUCUGUUUGGUCAUGUCCAAACAGAACAGGCUGUUUGUUGAGCCUCAUUGAGAGGCUCAUGAGGUGCCCAAGGGGAGCACACGAGCAGGGAAGGGGCCACGUUCCCUGUCCCCUCCGCCAUCCGUCCCUUAGCCGCUGCACCACAGCUCUGUUCCUCCCGCAUACCUGUGUGAUCUAACCUUCAUGGUCUGGCUUCUCCGGCAGCACGAGGAUUGGUGGUGUCCUCUCUGGUGCAGACUUCCUGCUCCGGAGGUCUCGUUACAAGCUCAGAAAAAUGAAGAGCUGUGACUAAAGGGAGAGCUUUCGGAAGAAUAGGAGAGUCUGGCCCCUGGCCUUUCUCCUUAGCCCUUCCUGGAUUCCAGUGGCCCUUCCUCUCUCCUUGGGAACAAAGAAAGAUGGAAAAGCCCACGGGCAAAAAGAAGGCACAGACCCCAAAGGAAGAAGGAGAUUUGCUAAAGGACACUCCCAAAGGAGAGAAAGCAUCUGGUGAGAAAAAGGCAAACAAGAGGUCCACUUUGGCGAAAAAGUACAGCAAGGAAGCCAGCCUGAGUCCUGAAGAAGAACACGUAUUUGAUGCCUUUGAUGCUUCAUUUAAAGAUGACUUUGAGGGGGUUCCCGUGUUCAUUCCUUUUCAGAGAAAGAAGCCCUAUGAGUGCAGCGAGUGUGGACGCGUCUUCAAGCACAAGACAGACCACCUUCGCCACCAGAGGGUUCACACGGGAGAGAAACCCUUCAAGUGUGAGGAGUGUGGGAAGAUGUUCAGGCACAGCUCCGAUGUCACCAAACACCAGAGAAUCCACACUGGAGAGAAGCCCUUUAAAUGCAGCGAGUGCGGGAAGGCCUUUAACUGCGGCUCCAAUCUCCUAAAACAUCAGAAGACGCACACUGGAGAGAAGCCGUAUGAGUGCAAGGAAUGUGGGAAAACCUUUGCCUACAGCUCAUGUCUCAUUCGCCAUCGGAAGCGCCACCCACGGAAGAAGCACUGAGCGCGGGGAAGCUAUCUGCCAAGACGCGGUGUUUGUGCUGAUGGGAGCUGUCCCUCCUUCAGCAUCUGAUCGAUGCUGGGGGUCCGUGAGCUCAGCGCACCUGUGCCCAGGCAUCCCCCUCAUCAUCAGGAAAAUCAACCCAGUGGGGUAAGCAAGUGCUUGAGCAUGGUAAAGACCUUUCUGGUCCAGAGCAUCUCUGGAUCAAGACACCAUGAUAAUGUGGGAGGGGCUUGCAGCACGGGAGACUCUGGGGAUAUCGACAGCUGUCUGUGGGGCUCGCGAGGCAGCGGCUGCUUGUGAGCGGCCCAGCGCCUCCCUCUGCGGCCUCCGCCCGUGGUGUCCACUGUGGUUUCAGCCCUCUCACCUGCUCCUUUGAAGACUUGAGUCUGCAGACUCUUGACCUGCCGGGUCAUCCCUGCACAGCCUGGCAGGAGGCCCACGGCCCUGAGCUAGUAGCAGUACUCUGCGGUCGCGCCCUCAGCACUGCACCAGACACCUGCUGUCCCCACUCGGCUGGCCAUGGUGACAGUGGUUUGUGCUCUGGCUUCCCUCCUCGGGCUGCGGUGCCACCACCAUCCCCCACCCCAUCCCCAGGAACUGCACCCUUUGUGCAUCCCCCUGGCCUAGCCCCCAUCCCAGGUGAGCGGCCUGACUCACCCAGGUGGAUCGCUCGGGACCUACAUACUGCCACCGUGGGAGAUUCCCGCCCUGGACACGUGGUGGAGGCCCCAAGGAUGUGAGCACAGCUUCGAGCCAGGCUGCAUCUGCCAUGGGGGCCUUCAGACAUGAGGCAGUGCGCCCUGCCCCCUGGGGAUCGGCUCUCCAGCUGUUUGGACCCCCAAGAUAGCCUUACUCUUUGGGGAUUCCGUCCUGCAAGAAGGUCCUGAAUCGGGGGGAGACCCGUUUCUCCAUCGGGGGUCACAGACGCCAGAGGGCAGAUGCUCCCGGUGGAAAUGCUUCUCCAGGUUGGCAAGUGUUCGCUCCUGUUCUUUCUAAAAGCUGUGAUGUUAUGACACCUGAGCUGGACACCCUGCCCCCCCUCCCCAGCGCAGCGGGCCCUCCUACCUGACGCAGCUCGCCCUAGGUGUGGCAGGAGGUCCAGGGGGACGCACAGUGGAUGGUAAAGGACGUUACUGGGACAUUCGGCAAACCUCGUGUCCACACUGUCCACUGGGUGGCAGAGCCGCAUCAGUUUCCAAGCUCCUGCUUGGCUUGCGGCCCCCGGCCAUCCCAGACCUCAUCCUUGUCAAAGAUGCUCCCUAAGGUUUUCAGGGACACAGGAUCAUGAUGUCUGCACUUUACCGUCAAAUGUUCAGCAGAGAAACAGAGUAACAAGACGUGUAUCCGCACUGAGUGAUGAAGCAAAUUGAACCCGGAGUCAGGCUGGCAGACGUUUUCUGUAAAGGGCCAGAUAGUAGCUGUUCUUGGCCCUGUGGCCCUAAGGCCUCUGUCCCCGCUCAGCUCCGCUGUGACAUGCGACAGCAGUGAACACAGUGAAUGAGCGCGGCCGUGUGCCAGCAGAGCUGUGUUGGGCGGCCAUGUUGGGCCUGUCGUAGGUGGAGGGCGCGUGAGAGUCAGCCUGACCCGUGUGCGCUCGGGUCCUCCAGGACUGGCUGCGGGGGGGGAAGCCAGUGCAGGAAGCCGCGGGACACCCUGGGAGGGCUGCGGAGGGGCUCCGAGCAGCGAGCCCUGGUGCCCACCUUGGGUGCCGGAGCGCAGGCUGUGGACCCGGCACGCACGUCCAGGGGUGUCUGCGUCCUCUUCGGCGUGGUUUCGUUUGUCUUUACUGCGGCCUUCUGACACACCAGGACGCGUGUGUUCCCGUGCAGCGUCCGCCGUGAGAUCUGUAUCACGUGUUACAGCCCAUUUCCCCGUUCCCACGGCGGCAGGCAUGGUCUCCACCGCCGCCUACAGGUGCGGUGAGCAGAGGCUCACCGUGUCCUAACGGGCGUGUGGGCUGUUUCUGGUUUCGGGCGUUAUAAAUAAUGCUGAGAUAAAUACCUUUUCUGCAUCUCGGGCCGACAGGAUGGGUCCCCAGACACGGAAUGCCAGGGGGAGAUCCUCGGGGCUGUGCGGGCUGGGCGCCCCAGCGGCACACGGACAGCAGGCUUGCCCUGGCCUCUCCGGCAGCAGGCAGGUGGGUCUUCAUCAUUGCCGGUUUGUUUGAAGAGAGGGAAACGCACUCUGACCCCAUGGCUUUGGUUUCUAGAGAGGAAAUGGGUGGUGAAGAACACAGGCUCUCGGGCCGGGGCUUAGCGACUUGAGCCGGUGCCUUGGCGAUGUGGGACUUGGGGCAUGUCCCUUAACCUCCUCGUGCUGCCUCAGUUUCCUCAGGCGUGACAUGGGGAUGCUUAACCUGACUCAGUGAGUCAGCACGUGAAGUCCUAGGUGCAGGGCUGGCUCCUCCCAAGUGUCUUAAGAAUGUCAGCUCUGGGGGCACCUGGCUGACUCGGUGGGUGGAGCUUGGAACGCUUGAUCUCCGGGCCGUGAGUUCGAGCCCCACGUUGGAUGUGGAGCUUCUUGCCAUGUGUUUGUGUUCUUAGCAAGGCAGACAUUUGCUUGUAGGCAUGGGAGGUGGCCGUGCACGCCGACAGCCCUCAGCGCCUCUCUCAGGAAGGCUGCAUCAGCCCGGAAAAGAGCCACAGAAAACUACUUUUUUAAAAAGUAAGACUUGGGGGCGCCUGGGUGGCUCAG